GGGAGGAGCUCGGAUCCUGGGCCGUGUCCCCGGCGCCCUGUGCUCUGCGGCCUGCGCUGGUGGAUUUGCGCUCCUGGCCGGGCAGCCCCCU
This 91-nucleotide microRNA precursor is filed under the name Canis lupus familiaris (dog). RNAcentral's name for it is "mir-8799 microRNA precursor family". It matches the Rfam family "mir-8799 microRNA precursor family". RNAcentral also lists the same sequence under 1 other name. Lineage: Eukaryota; Metazoa; Chordata; Mammalia; Carnivora; Canidae. The record is from Rfam by way of RNAcentral.